This 462-nucleotide ribosomal RNA is filed under the name uncultured bacterium. Its description in RNAcentral is "bacterial SSU rRNA". It matches the Rfam family "Bacterial small subunit ribosomal RNA", at positions 355 to 825 of the family's 1533-position model. The record is from RNAcentral.
UCGGGAAUUUUGGGCAAUGGGGGAAACCCUGACGCAGCGACGCCGCGUGGGGGAUGAAGGUCUUCGGAUUGUAAACCCCUUUCGGCAGGGAAGAUGGAACGGGUAACCGUUCGGACGGUGCCUGCAGAAGCAGCCACGGCUAACUUCGUGCCAGCAGCCGCGGUAAUACGAAGGUGGCAAGCGUUGUUCGGAUUUACUGGGCGUACAGGGAGCGUAGGCGGUUGGGUAAGCCCUCCGUGAAAUCUCCGGGCCUAACCCGGAAAGUGCGGAGGGGACUGCUCGGCUAGAGGAUGGGAGAGGAGCGCGGAAUUCCCGGUGUAGCGGUGAAAUGCGUAGAGAUCGGGAGGAAGGCCGGUGGCGAAGGCGGCGCUCUGGAACAUAUCUGACGCUGAGGCUCGAAAGCGUGGGGAGCAAACAGGAUUAGAUACCCCUGUAGUCCCUGAGCGGGCUGGCAAGGCGCAU